UCUUGGAGUUCUAGCUCACCUUUCUGGUGUUGUUUUUGUACUCAUCUGUUUAAUCUAGUUCUGCCACUUCUUCUUAAACUUCUUGUAAGAUUUUAAGUCUGUAUUUUGUGUCCGUGACAGUUUGUCGAGACUACCUUUAUCUUAAUAUCAGAGCUGAAUCCUUCUUGUUUGAGAGCGGAUUACCUCUCUUCUUGAAGGUAUUCUAGCGCUUUAGGGGUUGCGGAUUACCUUCCUCUAAACUGAUAUUUUCUC
This 252-nucleotide long non-coding RNA is filed under the name Physcomitrium patens. Its description in RNAcentral is "long non-coding RNA (PPAT_LNC004463)". The record is from RNAcentral. Lineage: Eukaryota; Viridiplantae; Streptophyta; Bryopsida; Funariales; Funariaceae.